This 253-nucleotide ribosomal RNA is filed under the name uncultured bacterium. RNAcentral's name for it is "partial 16S ribosomal RNA". It matches the Rfam family "Bacterial small subunit ribosomal RNA", at positions 524 to 776 of the family's 1533-position model. The record is from RNAcentral.
UACGAAGGGGGCUAGCGUCGUUCGGAUUUACUGGGCGUAAAGCGCACGUAGGCGGAUCGUUAAGUUAGGGGUGAAAUCCUGGAGCUCAACUCCAGAACUGCCCUUAAUACUGGCGAUCUCGAGUCCGGAAGAGGUGAGUGGAACUCCUAGUGUAGAGGUGGAAUUCGUAGAUAUUAGGAAGAACACCAGUGGCGAAGGCGGCUCACUGGUCCGGUACUGACGCUGAUGUGCGAAAGCGUGGGGAGCAAACAGG